This is a long non-coding RNA of Papaver somniferum (opium poppy), 1301 nucleotides long. RefSeq lists it as uncharacterized. Lineage: Eukaryota; Viridiplantae; Streptophyta; Magnoliopsida; Ranunculales; Papaveraceae. The transcript is spliced from 4 exons. The record is from RefSeq and is a predicted model, not a curated record.
CUGACGUUUUGAUCUUCCCUCCUUCCCAGUGUAAUCUGAUUCCAUGAAUCCAAAGGAUUAGGCGUUAUCUAUGCCACACUAAGUUGUCAUGAAUUUUUCUCCACCUAUGCGUAUUUAUUGAUUUCCAUUUUUCCGUAUUUUUUCUUCCGUAAUUGCGCUGAAACCCAAAGCUAGCAGAAAUUUCUACCGAAACCUUAAGAAUCAUUAAACGUUUCACCUUUCUAUCCCUUAUUUAAAUUGAAAGUUAAAUCAAAAUGCUCAUGCAUUUAAUGGCCUCUUCGGAUUUCCCUAUAAAAUCUCUGAGCCGAAUCAAAACACCAUCAGUUCCACCAGUCGCACAGGUGACAUGCAAAUAACAUAAGGUAGCAUCAUCAGCUAGGCAGAACAUCUUCAAGAGAUCAUGUGCCCUUACUGUUCAAGUGACCUCGAAACUGUAUACUUUCCCUAACCCGCAUUGCUUAUGUAGUUGGCCAUUUGCUCAACUUUUUUGAAGAUUUAUCAAGUGAAAUUCACCCUCUCCUCCACAAAUGUUUUCAAAGUGUACCCCAACAUCGACAUCCCAACUGUUGUACAAAUGCGAGAAAGGUUAGUAUUUGCUUAUUUACUAUCCAGCAUAAAGGAUUUCGUAUAUCAUUUUUUUAGACCGUAGCUUUUGUACCCCUAUAUAUCGAUUACUGUUUAGAUAUCCUUUUGUCUCUGUUCUUUGUAUAACUCAUUCAGAUUACAUGCAUAUUUAUUGGUAAAAUGUUUAUUAAUAAAAUGUUAAAUUUGUAUAGUUAUAUUUUUGUGUACACGGUGUAAUGAGUGAGAACUUGGAUUUAAUAUUUACAGUCUUCAUGUCUGUAAGAGCCUCUUAACUUGGAUGAAUUUUUUUUUCAAUUUAUUUGUCUAUCUGCUACAUCUGUAUGAUAAUUACAAAGAGUAUGUGGACUUCAUGGAUCUCCUACAAGCUUAAGCCGCCAAAAAGAAAUUAACUAGGCUGUACAAGAUGGAAGUAAUAUUCAAUCCUCUUCUCCGUUUUCCUCCUAAAGUGAAAAUCUAUUUGCAGAUCAUUGGAGCGCGAAAUACAGAGAAUGGUAGCCAGCAUAACUACUCAUCAGAUAAAGUAGUUUGAUUUUCUUAUAUAUGAUUUUAAACUUGGUGGAAAUGCUUAUUAGAAGUCUUGCUUAGUAGCAGUCUUUGUUUGAAUCAGAUUGAGCUCACAAUCUAAACAGUGGCAUAACAAAGGACUUUGAGGUUUUUGUUUGAAUCAGACAUUCUUAACUGCUUAGAAAAUCUUCAUGCAUGUGUGUAAUGUUUUC